RNAcentral lists this ribosomal RNA (264 nucleotides) under uncultured archaeon. RNAcentral describes it as "partial 16S ribosomal RNA". It matches the Rfam family "Archaeal small subunit ribosomal RNA", at positions 714 to 982 of the family's 1478-position model. The record is from RNAcentral.
AGACGUCUACAUUAGAUACCCCUGUAGUCCCAGCCGUAAACUAUGCGCGUUAGGUGUAUCGGUGACCACGAGUUACCGAGGUGCCGAAGGGAAACCGUGAAACGUGCCGCCCGGGAAGUACGGUCGCAAGGCUGAAACUUAAAGGAAUUGGCGGGGAGCACCACAACAGGUGGAGCCUGCGGUUUAAUUGGACUCAACGCCGGGAAGCUCACCGGAUAGGACAGCAGAAUGAUUGCCGGGCUGAAGACCCUGCAUGACUAGCUG